AUUUAAAUAGUUAAAAUAUAGCGUCACAUUGAAGCUGUGGAGUUGGCAUUUGUCGCCUUUAAAUA
Molecule: transfer RNA, 65 nt
Filed under: Alpheus brevicristatus
Lineage: Eukaryota; Metazoa; Arthropoda; Malacostraca; Decapoda; Alpheidae
Description: tRNA-Phe
Source: RNAcentral